GGGGGUAUAUCUCAAUCUCAGUGGUAGAGCAUUCGACUGCAGAUGGAGAGGUCCCCGGUUCAAACCCGGGUGCCCUCU
This is a non-coding RNA of Trichonephila clavipes, 78 nucleotides long. The record is from the annotation of a GenBank genome assembly. Lineage: Eukaryota; Metazoa; Arthropoda; Arachnida; Araneae; Nephilidae.